Non-coding RNA from Acanthosepion pharaonis, 98 nucleotides. The record is from the annotation of a GenBank genome assembly. NCBI's taxonomy places the organism in Eukaryota, Metazoa, Mollusca, Cephalopoda, Sepiida, Sepiidae.
GUUGUAACAUCUGUUCCCGAACGAUCACCAACGUUAAGCAUGAUCGGACCUAGUCAUUAAUUAGAUGGGUGACUAUUUGGGAAUACCAGGUGCUGUAA